GGCGCUAUAGCCAAGUGGUUACGGCGACAGAUUAGAAUUCUCGGUAACACGAACUGUCAAUCUGUUCCUCUUUGAGGGCGCAGGUUCGAAUCCUGCUGGCGUCG
Non-coding RNA from Marasmius sp. AFHP31, 104 nucleotides. The record is from the annotation of a GenBank genome assembly. NCBI's taxonomy places the organism in Eukaryota, Fungi, Basidiomycota, Agaricomycetes, Agaricales, Marasmiaceae.